UUUGGUUGCCUGUGCUUGUGGGGUAUUACUCAAUAAAUCUUUGCCCAGUCCAAUGUCCUGGAGAGUUUCCCCAAUGUUUUCUUUUGGUAGUUUCAUAGUUUUAGGUCUUAGAUUUAAGUCUGUAAUCCUUCUUGAUUUAAUUUUUGUAUAUGUUUAGAGAUAGGGGUCUAGUUUCAUUCUUCUCCAUGUAGAUAUCCAAUUUUCCCUGAAUCAUUUAUUGAAGAGACGUUUUUUCCAGUGUAUGCUCUUGGCAUGUUUGUCAAAAAUGAGAUCACUGUAGAUGUAUCUAUUUAUCUCUGGGUUCUCUCUUCCACUGAUCUGUGUGUCUAUUUUUAUGCCAGUACUAUACUGUUUUGGUUACUAUAACUCUGUAGUGUAUUUUAAAGGCAAGUAAUGUGAUUCCUCCAGUUUUGUUCCUUUUGUUUAGGAUAGCCUUGGCUAUUCAGGGUCUUUUGUGGUUCCAUAUACAUUUUAGAAUUGUUUCUUCUAUUUCUGUGAAGAAUGGUAUUUUGGUAUUGUUAUUUUGAUAGGGAUUGCAUUAAAUCUGUAGAUUGCAUUGGGUAGUAUGGACAUUUAAGCAAUAUUGAUUGCUCCAAUCCUUGAAAAUGGAAUAUCUUUUAUUUUUUCAUGUCUUCUUCAAUUUCUUGAUCAAUGUUUUAUAGUUUUCAUUGUAGAGAUCUUUCCCUUCUUUAGUUAAUUCCUAGGUGUUUUAUUUUAUCUGUAGCUAUUGUAAAUGGGAUUACUUUCUUGAUUUCUUUUUCAGAUUAUUCACAGUUGGGAUAUUUAAGUGCUACUGAUUUUUGUAUCUUGAUUUUGUAUCCUGCAACUUUACUAAAUGUGUUGAUCAGUUCUAAUAGUUUUUUGGUGAGUCUUCUUUCCAAAUAUAAGAUUGUAUCAUCUGCAAACAAGGAUAAUUUGACUUCUUCCUUUCCAAUUUGGAUGCUCUUUAUUGCAUUCUCUUGUCUUCUGGUUGCUCUAACUAUAACUUCCAGUACUAUUUUGAAUAACAGUGAUGAAAGUGGGCAUCCUUGUUGUGUUCCUGAUCUUAGAGAAAAGGCUUUCAGUUUUUUUCCCGUUCAGUAUGAUACUAGCUAUUGGUCUUUUAUGUAUGGCUUUAUUAUGUUGAGUUAUGUUCCUUCUAUACCUAGUUUUUUGAGGGUUUUUAUCAUGAACGGGUGUUGAAUUUUAUUGGUUACUUUUUCAGUAUCAAUUGAAAUGAUCAUAUGGUUUUUGUCCUUUAGUCCACUGAUACGAUGUAUCAAAUCAAUUGAUUUGCAUGUGUUAAACCAUCCUUGCAUCCUGGGGAUAAAUCCCACUUUGUCGUAAUGAACAAUCUUUUUAAUGUGUUGUUGAAGUCAAUUUGCUAGUGUUUUGUUGAAUGUUUUUGUGUAAAUAUUCAUCAGUGAUAUUGGCCUAUACUUUUUCUUUUUUUGAUGUGUCUUUGUCUGGUUUUGGUAGCAGGGUAAUACUGGCAUCACAGGAUGAGUUUAGAAUGGCUCAUGGUUCAGUCCUUGUAGGUUGUAUCUCUGUCUUUAGCUCUAAUCAUAUUUGCUUUAUAUAUCUGAACUCUCCAGUGCUGGGUGCACGUAUAUUUAAAAUUGUUAAUAUACGUGCUGAAUCGAUCCCUUUAUCAUUAUAUAGUGAGCUUCUUUGUCUCUUCUUAUAGUUUUUGUCUAUAUAUACACACAUAUAUAUAUCUGGGUGCUCCAAUGGUGGCCUGGCAAUACUCUCCAUAGCUCUGUGGGAUGAUGGCCAUGGGAUGAGGCUACUCUGCCUCAAAAGUGGAGGGAAGAGUGGGAAGGACUAUGUUGCCAGAUGUAUGUCAUUUGUUUCUUUUCUCUCGCUGCUUUCUCUCGCU
Molecule: long non-coding RNA, 1858 nt
Organism: Macaca fascicularis (crab-eating macaque)
Lineage: Eukaryota; Metazoa; Chordata; Mammalia; Primates; Cercopithecidae
Source: Ensembl